GGAUGUGAGGGAGAUCUGGCUGCGACAUCUGUCACCCCACUGAUUGCCAAGAUCUGGCUGGCUAGGAGGGUGUCCCCUUCCUCCCUCACUGCCCCAUGUGUGUCCCUCCCAAAGCUGCAUGCUCUGUCAAAGAGGACGACCAUCCCUGAUAGAGGAGGUUAAAAAAAUUAAUCAGAG
RNAcentral lists this small nuclear RNA (177 nucleotides) under Camelus ferus (Wild Bactrian camel). Its description in RNAcentral is "7SK RNA". It matches the Rfam family "7SK RNA", at positions 1 to 189 of the family's 331-position model. From Rfam's summary of the family: 7SK was discovered as an abundant small nuclear RNA in the mid-70s but a possible function has only recently been suggested. Two independent studies have found that 7SK RNA binds the CDK9/cyclin T complex (known as elongation factor P-TEFb). The record is from Rfam by way of RNAcentral. Lineage: Eukaryota; Metazoa; Chordata; Mammalia; Artiodactyla; Camelidae.